ACAGAGAAAUGAACUCUUAACCUAACAUGUAUUCAGAAGGUUUGUAUUGCAUUUUUAAAUUGGAAGUUUAAACCAGGAGGAAGGGCAGAUUACAAAACAUGUGUUAUGAUCAGUAACACCAUUUUGUUUUAAAUACAAUAAGUUGCAAAAAAACUAUAAUUAAACUGUACACUGUUACAAAAAAGAAACAUUUUUUAAAAAGUAGCCUAUUGGCUUGCAGUGUAACAAUAUAUUAUUUUUAAAUAUUUUAAUAUGCGAUAAUAUAAGCGCCAACUUCCCUAUAUAUAUAUAUUGUGAUCACAAGUUAGUGUUAAUAUAUAAACACAAAUAGUGUCUCAUUUACACAAAAACCUUAACAGUUUAUGUAUGGGUAAUGUAGAACUGUGUUUUACAAAAAUCAAUGUUGAACUUUUUCAAUCGUUACUAGAUUGAAGAAACAAGGUUAUGUUUAAUGUAAUCAGUGCUGCCAGAUUACUGCGGGUAAGGGCUUUUUGUUAUGGAGUGUAUCACUGUGAUACACUGGGAGUAGCUGGAGUGGCACAGUGAUAUAAUACCGUACAAAAACCUACUGCAUGUAAUACGGGAAGCACAUUGCUUUCUGACAUAAACUACUGAAACUGAACUCCCCUUCCUCCCCACAGAUUCAGAUUUUAAUAGAAAAAUUUCAAGUUGUUGUUGUUUUCUUUAAACAUUUAUUAUUUACACUUUCUUCAUUUUUGCACAGGUUUUCUGGCUGGGAUAGGAAUCUCUGCAAAGAAUAGAACACUUGGAUAUUCUCAUCUAAAUCCGGAACAUGGGAUUCUGCUUCUAAACAAAAAUGGGUCAAAUUAAAUUACAUAUGAAGACUGUGAGAAAGAAUUUGAGUUUUUGCUGGCAUUGUAAAGAGAAGAAACUACAGAUUCUCGCUGGGAUAGGAAUCUCUGCAAAGAAUAGAACACUUGGAUAUUCUCAUCUAAAUCCAGAACCUGGGAUUCUACUUUUAAACAAAAAUGGGUCAAAUUACAUUACAUAUGAAGACUGUGUGAAAGAAUUUUAAUUAUUGCUGGCAUUGUAAAGAGAAGAAACUACAGGUUUUCUCGCUGGGAUAGGAAUCCCUGCAAAGAAUAGAACACUUGGAUAUUCUCAUCUAAAUCUGGAACCUGGGAUUCUGCUUCUAAACAAGAAUGGGUCAAAUUAGAUUACAUAUGAAGACUGUGAGAAAGAAUGAAUUAUUGCUUGCAUUGUAAAAAGAAGAAACUACAGGGGAACACUUGUGCUGCACAGGACAUCUUAAUGAUAAGUCUGCCCUCCCCUCCAGCAAGUGUUCACAAGGCUUUAGCCAUUUCAAAAGAAACUUAGUACGUAUUUAUGAAAGAUUCAUAAAGAUU
Long non-coding RNA from Acipenser ruthenus (sterlet), 1367 nucleotides. RefSeq lists it as uncharacterized. The transcript has 4 exons. Lineage: Eukaryota; Metazoa; Chordata; Actinopteri; Acipenseriformes; Acipenseridae. The record is from RefSeq and is a predicted model, not a curated record.